GACGGACGCUGGCGGCGUGCUUAACACAUGCAAGUCGAACGGAAAGGCCCUGCUUGCAGGGUACUCGAGUGGCGAACGGGUGAGUAACACGUGGGUGAUCUGCCCUGCACUUCGGGAUAAGCUUGGGAAACUGGGUCUAAUACCGGAUAGGAGCCAUCUUUAGUGUGGUGGUUGGAAAGUUUUUUCGGUGUAGGAUGAGCUCGCGGCCUAUCAGCUUGUUGGUGGGGUAAUGGCCUACCAAGGCGGCGACGGGUAGCCGGCCUGAGAGGGUGUACGGCCACAUUGGGACUGAGAUACGGCCCAGACUCCUACGGGAGGCAGCAGUGGGGAAUAUUGCACAAUGGGCGCAAGCCUGAUGCAGCGACGCCGCGUGGGGGAUGAAGGCCUUCGGGUUGUAAACUCCUUUCGCUAGGGACGAAGCUUUUUUGUGACGGUACCCAGAUAAGAAGCACCGGCUAACUACGUG
RNAcentral lists this ribosomal RNA (466 nucleotides) under uncultured bacterium. RNAcentral describes it as "partial 16S ribosomal RNA". It matches the Rfam family "Bacterial small subunit ribosomal RNA", at positions 28 to 507 of the family's 1533-position model. The record is from RNAcentral.